GUACUGGUGUAAACCUUCCAUAGUCAUGGAGCUGAAAUAAAUAAAUACAUUUUUACAAGCAAAGUAAAUGCAGUUUGAAGUAAAGAUUAUAGGUCUUUCUGUAUUUUACUAAGGCAUCACCAAACUGAUAACUUCUUCAGUUUUUUUCUUUAAAAAUGGGAAGAGCAUGAAAAACAACUAUCUAUUUAUACUGCCAAGUGCCCUUUCGAGCAUGGUAGGCAGACAUGGACAUUAUCGAGUCGGUUUCCUGGGAAGAACCAGUACUUGGUGUCCAUGGAGGAGAUAAUUAGAAUGCUUCCCAAGUAAGGAGUGAACCCACUAACACCCGAUCGCUAGGCGGAUAUCUCAUCCACUACAACACCGCGACCUUGAACUACAAAUAUUUUUUUAUGUCCCCCACUAUAGAAGUGGGGGACAUAUUGUUUUUGCCCUGUCUGUUGGUUGGUCUGUUGGUUGGUUGGUUUGCGCCAACUUAAACAUUUUGCAAUAACUUUUGCUAUAUUGAAUAUAGCAACUUGAUAUUUGGCAUGCAUGAGUAUCUCAUGGAGCUGCACAUUUUGAGUGGUGAAAGGUCAGAGGUCAAAUAUAUGUGGCCUAAAUUGCUCAUUUUAUGAAUACUUUUGCAAUAUUGAAGAUAGCAACUCGAUAUUUGGCAUGCAUGUGUAUCUCAUGGAGCUGCACAUUUUGAGUGGUGAAAGGUCAAAGUCAAGGUCAUCCUUCAAGGUCAGAGGUAAAACAUAUUUGUCCCAAAUCGCUUAUUUUAUUAAUACUUUUGAAAUAUUGAAGAUAGCAACUUGAUAUUUGGCAUGCAUGUGUAUCUCAUGGAGCUGCACAAUUUGAGUGGUGAAAGGUCAAGGUCAUCCUUCAAGGUCAAGGUCAUCCUUAAAGGUCAAAUAUAUGGGUCAAAAUUGCUCAUGUAAUGUCACUUCUGCAAUAUUGAAGCUAGCAAUUUUAUAUUUGAAAUGCAUGUGUAUCUCAUGGAGCUGCACAUUUUGAGUGGUGAAGGGUCAAGGUCAUCCUUCAAGGUCAAACAUUAUUUAGGGGGACAUUGUGUUUCACAAACGCAUCUUGUUUCAAAUUAUCUUUAUUCAACAACAUUUUGUAUAACGAUAAAACAACUCACUCUUAGAGAUACGUCUAGUAGUGAUGCACUGCUUUCAACCAACAAACCAUCUGCCUCGUUCUCGAAACUCAAGUCUGGUGAACGGUUAUCUGACAUUUCCUCAGUUUCUGGUGUGGAAUUCGUCUCAUCUGCUUCAGGGCCAUUUUCCAGAGUCUGUAAGGUAAACAAAUAAAAUUAAAUCAGCACAUCAAAGACCUAGAAAUACACAUACUUUUUCAAACUAACAUGAAAGAAUGAUGUUCAGAUACGUAAUAUUUAUGCUUCUGUAUCAUGUUGUAAACACCGUCAGAUUCUAUACCGAUAGAGUAACUGACCCAUGUUCAUUCUUGAAACCUCGUAUAGCCUAGUGGCAACAUAUCCGCUUCAAAAUAUCAGAUACCAUUGGUUCGAUCCUCGGCUGUGAGCUACAUAAAAUAAAUCAUGAACUGUGCCAUGGGUAUGUCUGCCAUUAUCCCAUGCUUGAUUGUACCACAAGGAAUCACUGAUUUGAAUAGUAAGCUCGAUUUAAUAAUCCAUCGGAAUCGUUUUAAGGUGAUAAUCUGAUUACACGCAGUGCGCAAUCUGAUUAUGUGAUGACUUAAAUUAGUAUAAGUAUUAA
Dreissena polymorpha is the source of this 1721-nucleotide long non-coding RNA. RefSeq lists it as uncharacterized. The record is from RefSeq and is a predicted model, not a curated record. Lineage: Eukaryota; Metazoa; Mollusca; Bivalvia; Myida; Dreissenidae. The transcript has 2 exons.